GAUGAACGCUGGCGGCGUGCCUAAUACAUGCAAGUCGAGCGAACGGACCAGAAGCUUGCUUCUCUGAUGUUAUCGCCGGACGGGUGAUUCACACGUGGAUAACCUACCUCUCAGACUGGGAUAACUUCGGGAAACCGGAUCUACUACCCGAUAAUAUUUUGACCCGCAUGGUUCAAAAGUGAAAGACGGUCUUGCUGUCGCUUAUAGAUGGAUCCGCGCUGCAUUAGCUAGUUGGUAAGGUGACGGCUUACCAAGGCAACGAUGCAUAGCCGACCUGAAAGGGUGAUCGGCCACACUGGAACUGAGACACGGUCGAGACUCCUGCGGGAGGAAGCAGCAGGGAAUCUUCCGGAAUGGGCGAAAGCCGGACGGAGCAACGCCGCGUGAGUGAUGAAGGUCUUCGGAUCGGAAAACUCUGUUAGUAGGGAAGAACAUAUGUGUAAGUAACUGUGCACAUCUUGACGGUACCUAAUCAGAAAGCCACGGCUAACUACGUG
This 497-nucleotide ribosomal RNA is filed under the name uncultured bacterium. RNAcentral's name for it is "partial 16S ribosomal RNA". It matches the Rfam family "Bacterial small subunit ribosomal RNA", at positions 28 to 507 of the family's 1533-position model. The record is from RNAcentral.